CCCAUGUCUCGCACAAAACUAUACUUCACAUUGGAUUUCAGAAGGUGUUCCAAUAUUGUAUUCAUGUAGUCCAUUGCUACGUAUGUAAUGCUUUGGUGCAAAAUCUAACAUUUCUUCAGUCUCUUUCAUUCCUCCCAUCAUCCCAUUGCACUCCUAGCAAUUAACUUCCUUCCUAUUCUCUACAUUGUGUACUUACUUCAGUAUGAACUAUAAUAGUUUAAAGAGUAACAACAAUGAUAAUAAAGCAUAAUAUAUAAACAAACACUGAAAUUUAUCCUCGACUAAUAAGUAAGCAUUCCAACUUUGAGAGUGUAUAUCUAGACAUUGCAACUUCAGAAGUCAUGGCCCUCUCUACUCAAAUUCUUGACAUUCCCUAGAUAAUCCAAGAAUAAACUUAUUAACCAAAUAAAAAUUAAAGCAGUAUGUUUUUAAAACUAUUUCAUACAAUCAAUAGUAGCUUUACAACAACAUAUUCCUCAAUAUGUACUCGUAUUAAUGAUGUAUUAGUUACAAAUCAAUUACCAGUUAACUUCAUUAAACAUUAUUGAUAGGCUCAUGAGUCUACCAUCGUAACUAUGUAGUAAGUUAGCAGCUACCACCUUUGUUACCCUUAAUUUAAGCUUUAUAUCAACCUUAUAAGCAAGUAAUAAGGUUGGGUUAGCUUCCGAUUCUGAAGCUAUGUUAUGGGUACUUCUCUUAUUUAGUCAAACUCCUAAAAUGAUACAAAUAAAUUAAAAAAAGAACAAAGUAAAUGAGCUGUGUCGUGGUUGAACUUUGUUUACAUAGAACUUUAUAAUUACCAUUUCAAUCUCUUUUAAGUAUUGUCCAUAAUCAAUGGACUAUUAUAUUCCUUAAAAGUUCGAAGGAAAUUCCAUUGAAUAAGUGAUGCACACAGGAAAGACGACCUCUAAACUUGAAGGUGAAUAACAUGCUAGUACAAACAGAAAACAAAAUAACAUCCUUAAAUCAUUCUAUUUUUUGAGAAGUAAAAAUAAUAUAAUCGUUAGUUUUUGAAAGUUAGAUCCUUAAUAGCUUGGUGAAAACACAAAAGUCGGACUUGAUUUAUUAUGGAUGUUUUCCCUCUUGAUUUAGUGUCCUAAUUGAAGUUAUUUCAUUGAGCUGUAUCACAUAAAUUGUGUUUUUGACUAAUUUUUGCAUAUUUUCUAUAUUGAUCUUUUAUUAGCAGUAAAAAUAAAAAUCAAAUAAGUAAUGUAAAACUAAUUUAAGAUUUUACAUCUAGAAAGCCCCAAAUGAGAUUAAGUUGAGUUAUUUUCCUAUGGUAAACUUAAAAGGGAGCCUUAUAAAAUUGCAAUCUUAAGAUCUUGCAAUUUUUUUUUUUGAGAAUCAAUACUGUUAAGAACCUGCUAGUUUUACGACAAAAAGAAUUUUUUCCAAGAAAGUAGCUCAUCUCCCUUUGAUUCAUGAUUCGGCAGAUUAAUUGAAUGAGAUAUUUGCAGAAACGGUUCCCCUUUAUUAAAAUCAACAAAUCUGAAAAUUUCUAUCCUAACAUUUUCUUUUGAAAAUUCUACUCAUUAUAGUUGUAUUUACUCAGAUCCAGCAGCAUGACAUCAAAAUUAGCACAUGCACAUGACUUAUUGGAGAAAAUUUUAGACGCCAAAGAGGCAAAGAAAAAUAAAAUAUCAAACCUGUGACUACCAAGUAAAGAUGAAUGCUGGAGUUGUUAUUGAUCGAUUAAAUCUUGAGCACCAACCUUUUUCUUCUAUUUUGCUCAGAGCCGUGGAAGGCGAAACAUUAGUUUCUCUUCCAUUGUUA
RNAcentral lists this long non-coding RNA (1773 nucleotides) under Solanum tuberosum (potato). RNAcentral describes it as "long non-coding RNA (STUB_LNC003099)". Lineage: Eukaryota; Viridiplantae; Streptophyta; Magnoliopsida; Solanales; Solanaceae. The record is from RNAcentral.